UUCCGGUUGAUCCUGCCAGACCCGACUGCUAUCAGAAUAGGACUAAGCCAUGCGAGUCAACGUAGCAAUACGUGGCAUACGGCUCAGUAACACGUAGUCAACAUGCCCAGGGGACGUGGAUAACCUCGGGAAACUGAGGAUAAACCGCGAUAGACCAUAAUGUCUGGAAUGAUUUAUGGUUCAAAUCUACAUGGCCCCUGGAUUGGACUGCGGCCGAUCAGGCUGUUGGUGAGGUAAUGGCCCACCAAACCUAAAACCGGUACGGGCUCUGAGAAGAGAAACCCGGAGAUGGGCACUGA
Molecule: ribosomal RNA, 299 nt
Filed under: uncultured archaeon
Lineage: Archaea
Description: partial 16S ribosomal RNA
Rfam family: Archaeal small subunit ribosomal RNA
Source: RNAcentral